UGAGACNCGGCCCAGACUCUUACGGGAGGCAGCAGUGGGNAAUAUUGACAAUGGGCGCAAGCCUGAUCCAGCCAUGGUCGCGUGUGUGAAGAAGGCCUUAUGGUUGUAAAGCACUUUAAGCGAGGAGGNGGCUACUUUAGNNUAAUACCUAGAGAUAGUGGACGUUACUCGCAGAAUAAGCACCGGCUAACUCUGUGCCAGCAGCCGCGGUAAUACAGAGGGUGCAAGCGUUAAUCGGAUUUACUGGGCGUAAAGCGCGCGUAGGCGGCUAAUUAAGUCAAAUGUGAAAUCCCCGAGCUUAACUUGGGAAUUGCAUUCGAUACUGGUUAGCUAGAGUGUGGGAGAGGAUGGUAGAAUUCCAGGUGUAGCGGUGAAAUGCGUAGAGAUCUGGAGGAAUACCGAUGGCGAAGGCAGCCAUCUGGCCUAACACUGACGCUGAGGUGCGAAAGCAUGGGGAGCAAACAGGAUUAGAUACCCUGGUAGUCCAUGCCGUAAACNAUGUCUACUAGCCGUUGGGGCCUUUGAGNCUUUAGUGGCGCANCUAACGCGAGAAAUAGACCGCCUGGGGAGUACNGNUCGCAAGACUAAAAACUCAAAUGAAUUGACGGGGGCCCGCACAAGCGNUGGAGCAUGUGGUUUAAUUCGAUGCAACGCGAAGAACCUUACCUGGCCUUGACAUAGUAAGAACUUUCCAGAGAUGGAUUGGUGCCUUCGGGAACUUACAUACAGGUGCUGCAUGGCUGUCGUCAGCUCGUGUCGUGAGAUGUUGGGUUAAGUCCCGCAACGGGCGCAACCCUUUUCCUUAUUUGCCAGCGAGUAAUGUCGGGAACUUUAAGGAUACUGCCAGUGACAAACUGGAGGAAGGCGGGGACGACGUCAAGUCAUCAUGGCCCUUACGGCCAGGGCUACACACGUGCUACAAUGGUCGGUACAAAGGGUUGCUACCUAGCGAUAGGAUGCUAAUCUNANAAAGCCGAUCGUAGUCCGGAUUGGAGUCUGCAACUCGNCUCCANGAAGUCGGAAUCGCUAGUAAUCGCGGAUCAGAAUGCCGCGGUGAAUACGUUCCCGGGCCUUGUACACACCGCCCGUCACNCCANCUGGAGUUUGUUGCACCAGAAGUAGCUAGCCUAACUGCAAAGAGGGCGGUUACNACGGUG
This 1157-nucleotide ribosomal RNA is filed under the name Acinetobacter sp. PUCM1023. RNAcentral's name for it is "bacterial SSU rRNA". It matches the Rfam family "Bacterial small subunit ribosomal RNA", at positions 320 to 1464 of the family's 1533-position model. The record is from RNAcentral. Lineage: Bacteria; Pseudomonadati; Pseudomonadota; Gammaproteobacteria; Moraxellales; Moraxellaceae.